UGCGUCGCAGAUAAAGCAACCUUUUAAGCCGGUUUGACUACAAGGUCGAUUUUAAUUGGCCCGCUCGUCCGUUUCCGAGUAGUCUGUUUGCGUUCGAUUCGAGAGGAUGGUAGCGGCGACAGCGUCGGAUAGAAAUCAAUCGUCGUCAGUUCCUCAACGUCUCACAUACAAUCGCAUCCGCAGCUCGGCGGCCUUCUAGCGGAAAAUGCGAGAUUCGAGUCAGCUGUUCGAAUCGCGGGACGUGUUGAAUCUAAAUUUCGUAUCGCUCACGCUUGGAUAACGUACGCUCAUCCGAUAAAAUUUCAAACCAAACGCUUGACGUUGUGAUUAACGAAUUCUGCAAGUGGGUACUGAUAAUGAUUCUGGAGCACGUGUUUAUAAAGCACGAACAUUAGUACGCCGCAAAGUGUCGCUAAUCGCGCUGUGAUUGUCGGUGCAAUAUGUGAAAAGAACUUCAUCACACAAAACUCGUUAUAUUCAUCAUUAACUCAUACCAAAAGUCUAUGAUUUUUCUGAAAGUUUUGAAACGUAGCAAGAUUACGCAUAAUUGCUUCGCAUAGUGAAUUCUCGAGUGAUUAGUUACGUUUGAAUGUUUGAGAAGGUAAUUAAUAAAUUAAGAACAAAAUAUUCAUAGCAACUACGAGAGAGUCUGUAAUUAAUUCAAACAAAUUGAAACUGCAAUCUGAUUGCAGAAUCAGUCAUUAGGGAGCGAAAUUUAGACACUUUCGACUGUUAUAUAUUGCAAUCAUACGCAAAUAUGAAGUUCUUGGCCAUAGCAAUCGCGAUAGCAUUAUUUUUCUUCUUAUCGAUGUCGAGCGCACGCACGUCCAACUUGAACGUAUCGGAAAAGGAAUUCGUGCCUUUCGAUAAGUACAAAAUACAAAAUCAGGAUACAAAAGCGGGAUCAAUCAUUAAUGUCCCUAUACAAUGUCCGCCGAACAAAACCAGAGUUGGAAAUCGCUGUAGAACUGUCUUUUAGAAUCUUUUUAUUGAGGGAUUAAACACCAGUACUAUUCAUGAAAGAAGAUAUUCCCGAAAAGAAAACAGAGAUGAGGAUCAUAUAUAUUUUGAAGAUUAAAAACAAUUAAUGGAAAAAUGAAGAUCUACAUUAGAAAUAUCUAAUUAAUUAACAACGCACAAAGUGCUACAAAUUGAAUCAUCAAUUAUAAAUUUUUCACGAAAUAAUCAAGAUGUGGAGAUGGUAUCAACUAAAUUAUUUUGCUACGUAUAUAUACUUAUUGUCAAUUAUUAAGAAUAGACUUUUUAUAUCAAGCGUGCAUGAUUAAAACCAAUGUAAAAAUUAUGGGGUAUUAAAAAAUUACAUUUAAUAUUAAAGAAUAAAUAAUUAAUAUUUUAUUAUCC
This is a long non-coding RNA of Formica exsecta, 1362 nucleotides long. RefSeq lists it as uncharacterized. Lineage: Eukaryota; Metazoa; Arthropoda; Insecta; Hymenoptera; Formicidae. The record is from RefSeq and is a predicted model, not a curated record. The transcript is spliced from 2 exons.